This 61-nucleotide transfer RNA is filed under the name Megalotomus costalis. RNAcentral describes it as "tRNA-His". The record is from RNAcentral. Lineage: Eukaryota; Metazoa; Arthropoda; Insecta; Hemiptera; Alydidae.
AUCCAAAUAGUUUAAUUAGAAUAAUAAUUUGUGGUGUUAUAGGUGUAUAUUACUUUGGAUU